UAUAUAGAGAGAGAGAGAGAGAGAGAGAGAGAACUCGGCUGGUACACUAUCGGUAGCACGGAACCAAGUUGUUUUCAAUGAUGCAGUUUUCAAAUCAAUGAUCAGCUCGAUUAGAUUUGAUCUAUACUAUUAAAACUAUUUGAAAACUAAAUUUUAUAAUUUUUCGAUAUUAUUUGGUUAGUAAGCAAAAUUCUCAAAAAUGACAAUUUUAAUAACUGAUGUGAUGCGUUUGUGAAUUUAACGGUAUAAAACAAUUCAAAUUUGAAAAUUUUUUUAUAAAUUUCUUUUUUAUUAUUUAAAGUAAGAUUAGUAUCUCUAAUUUUA
This 324-nucleotide long non-coding RNA is filed under the name Ananas comosus (pineapple). Its description in RNAcentral is "long non-coding RNA (ACOM_LNC023049)". The record is from RNAcentral. Lineage: Eukaryota; Viridiplantae; Streptophyta; Magnoliopsida; Poales; Bromeliaceae.